UGGAACAUUCGGUCAAAGCGGCAGUCGUAGGUGAAUAAAGCGGUGUCCAUUAAUCCGCAUAACCGUUUUGCCUUCACCCCCUGUUUUUCUCUCUCAUCCGUUAUCGUCCUUUACCAUUACCUCGGCCAUAUCCUCCUGCUAGGUCCGGCGACCUUCUCUCCGUCUACUGCCGCUCUGCCUACCGAGGCAGCUAUGUGACACGCCUUCCUCUUUCUCCCGAGGAGGCUGAUGGCGUGGAGGAGGAGCUCAGCAGACUUGCUCUCUUCUCUUGCAAUACCUCUUCCCCAACUCCAUGGAAAGUGGCAGUACCGGCGUUUUGCCUUGGACGCGCCUCCGGCUCCGUCGCGACCGGCAGCGGCCGCGUCUAGACGACAUCAGCGGGAUGCGGUGCAAGGAUUGUGAAGGAAAAAUAAUUAGUCCGCCGGGUCGUUCCGCCUUCUCCUAUCCCCUUUCUUAUUUCACGUCUAAUCUUAUCUUCUUUCUACAGCGAUGGUGGCGGCUGGCGGCGGUGGGUUCAAGGUCGCUGGGGAGUGCAGGCAUCCGUCAAGAAAAAACAGAGGCAACGCCUGAACCAGGGGAAGAGAAUAGCAGAAGAAUCUGACUAGAAAUUAGAGUGGCUGCACGCGUGCGAGAAGCACAAGGAUGAACUACGGUUCGUGCUCCCGUUCGUCCUAUCCAUCCAUCUCUCUCACCUCCCUCUGUUUCUCUCUUUAUUUCCAGCGCCCGUGCGUCCUGCUACAGGCUUCAUCAUCUUUCCCCUUCUUUCUGUAGCACCUGCGCUAUACACUUCUUCCCAGCAUGAGGAGGACGACCUGAAGCCUACCUUGCCUUGGAUGUGGUCAGCUUUGAGAUCAGCAAUCACUCCCCAUGUUCUUUUGUUUCUAAUCCGGAUACAACGGUACAGAUUUUGCUGCAAAUUUACAAUGUUUCUUCAAUAUCUUUUCUCUGUCUCUUCAUGGUUUCUUCUAUGAAUUGCACAUCGGAUCCUACUUAGUUUACCCUUUCAUCCAAUUUCCCUCUACCACUAGCUACAGAGGACAGGAGUCAACCCUAUAAGAGUAUACUGAGCUAUGAUGAGAAAAUGGUACUGCAAUUGUUGGGCUAGCUUGGCUCAUGAAUUGCUUUUGAAUUUGAUUGAAAGGUUAGACUUUGCCGGUGCGCAAUGAACGGUGUUAUGCUCUCAGUCCAACUAAGAAAUUGAUGCAUUUUGUAUUCAUAAAUUCAGGCGUUGUGGAGAUUUAAGUUUGAGUAGUCUGGCUACAUGGGACAGUGAGUUUACAUUGUUGCUAUUGUUUCAGUUUCAGUAUGCAGUUCCGCUCAUAGGCAAGGAGCCAAGAACCCGCAUAUCGUUGUGUUGGCCACACUUGGUUGAUUCCUCUCCGUCAGCGUCAUCCGUUAUAGAGGUCAGAUACUCAUCUUUUAGAUUGGAGAAAGGCAAGAAACCAAACACAUGAAAGCAUAGAACUCAUUUGUCUAAGGUUAAUGGAUUUCGUAGAAAUCGGUUGUUGGUUUCUUGCUCUUUCUCAUCUAACAUUAAUUUUCAAGUCACUGGUCACAGCCUUUUAAGUUAGUCACUCUAAUUUGACACUGCGGCAGCGGUGUUUUUGAGCCAGCCUUGCUAUGUAGGGAGGCAUUAUCUACCGUUUACUAAAGAUGGUUGGUGGGAUAAAGGAAAACACAAGUGAGGCAUUAUCUAUGGGGCCAGACAUUCAUCCUACAUCAUUGAGUUACUAUGCAGGCCCCUCUGCCUUGGACCAGUACAUCAUAUUUUAGAGCAUGUAUGUAAUGGAAGAAGAGCACAUCCUUCACAUCUUAAUUUGGGUAGCUUGAUCUAUCAAGAGAAUUGGAGAAUGACAAGGUAAUUGUCCGAAUGUUUUUUCCAUCUUUUUUGUGCUGCCUGGAGUUUCUCCAAUCUGAUGUAAUUUUGUGUUGCCUUAAGAUGUUCAGUUUUUCUUUUCUUUUCUUUUGCUACCAUAUGGUGUAUGUUGUUGUUUAUGGACCAGCAAACUGAAGUAGUGAGUCUAUAGAUGCUGAAUCCACAUCUAUAUGCCUGCCUUUUUUUGCCGAUUUGUCCACGUCUCAUGCAAAUUUCCGUCUUCUUAUUCUCUAGGUAACUGGACAGAAAAUGCCCUUCUACAGUGCCCCGAUCAACCCAAGAGCAUUAAACUGUCCAGUUAAGAUGCAUCUAGAAUAGAGUAUAAUCACAGAACUAUAAAAUUUAUUCUGGAAAGAAUGUUGUACUAACACUUUCAGUUCUGAUGUGCUUUGGGCUAUUUGGUGUGGUUGAGAAACGAAUUCAAUUUUCAGAAAAUAGGCUGGACAAGUAUUGAUAUAAUCUGGAAUAAGGUGGUGGCAGAUGCUAGAAGAUGAUCGGUCCUUUCAACUCAUUCUCACACUUCAGUGCUCGACACAAACCUGCUACUGGUACAACAAACAAUGGGGCGAAUUAUUGUGAAUUUCCUACGUAUGGAUUAUGCAAGUCUCAUGAAAAUGUUGGAGCGAUCCCCUCUUCUAGAUUAACUUUUCAGCUGGGUUUUCUUAAAUCUCAUGUGUGUGUUUCACUUGAUGGUUAAGCUUUAAUACCAUGUCUAUUUUUUUUAUGGUUGAGAUUCAGAUUUGUAACAGAAUGUUGUGUGAGAUCUAUUCUGGUUACAUAUCAAUGGAACCUGGGGCGACCUCUAUUCUAGAAA
Long non-coding RNA from Lolium rigidum, 2690 nucleotides. RefSeq lists it as uncharacterized. The record is from RefSeq and is a predicted model, not a curated record. The transcript is spliced from 3 exons. NCBI's taxonomy places the organism in Eukaryota, Viridiplantae, Streptophyta, Magnoliopsida, Poales, Poaceae.